AGUAGUUCUCGGGUGAUGCACCCUGGCAUCAGGCUCCCUCCUCUUUUGUUCCGGGUGGGUCACCUGAGAACCACA
Molecule: non-coding RNA, 75 nt
Organism: Myotis brandtii (Brandt's bat)
Lineage: Eukaryota; Metazoa; Chordata; Mammalia; Chiroptera; Vespertilionidae
Source: Rfam